AUGCACGGCCGCUCCUCCACGACGACACCAACCGUCCAGAAGCGGAGUCGCCGCCUCGACCCGGGGUCCCCCCGUCCCUGUCGUGGUCGGCGCCACGCCCAUCCCGAGGCACCACCCGCUCGUUGUCGGCACGCCCGAGCUUGCCAAGAAGUUCGCCGUGCCGCGGAGGGGCUCCUGGGGCCGAGAAGCAUAGCGGCGCCGGCGAUGCCGGGGUGCUCUUAUCACCCAAGGUUGUCAGGCCCAUCGCGCUCAACUUCGAGGAGAGGACGCCCGUCAAGGAGCGGCCCUCGCCAGCGCGGAGCUCGGCGUCGGUCAAGAAGAGCACCACCAUCAUGCCCAGGCUGGUGA
RNAcentral lists this ribosomal RNA (348 nucleotides) under Triticum aestivum (bread wheat). RNAcentral describes it as "partial small subunit ribosomal RNA". The record is from RNAcentral. Lineage: Eukaryota; Viridiplantae; Streptophyta; Magnoliopsida; Poales; Poaceae.